UUGGAGAAAGUAGAGAAGCUACUGAGAGAUUUUGAAAUGGAAUUAUAGAAUCUUCUUAUGAAAUGUCAAUUGCAUAGGAAGAGAAAGAAUAUGAGGAAGAGCUUGGCCAAGAGAAGGCUCAUUCUGUGUGCGGACAAAAUAGCAUAAAUAGGACAAGGUAAGGGCAAAAGUGAUGGGUUAGAGCUGCAUGGCAAUCCAAAUAAAUGCA
This 208-nucleotide long non-coding RNA is filed under the name Carica papaya (papaya). RNAcentral describes it as "long non-coding RNA (CPAP_LNC013676)". Lineage: Eukaryota; Viridiplantae; Streptophyta; Magnoliopsida; Brassicales; Caricaceae. The record is from RNAcentral.